UAAUCAAUAUCAAAGUUAAGCUAAGAACACUAAAUUCUUUCUGAAUUUUUUCUAAAUUAUAUCUAUCUUUAUCUCUAAAUCAUUAACCUUCAUAUGGGUAAGUAUAUUGUUACUUUUAUUUAUUAUUUAUUAUUAUUAUUAUUAUUUUAAUGUUAUACAGCUAUUGAGUGUCUUAAUUUCUUAAGCUUUCUGUCUAACCCAUGUAGCGAGUUUUCAACCAAUGACUCUCAAACCAGAUGACUUUAGGGCACUAGAUAUAGAAUACCCCU
RNAcentral lists this long non-coding RNA (269 nucleotides) under Elaeis guineensis (African oil palm). RNAcentral describes it as "long non-coding RNA (EGUI_LNC043214)". Lineage: Eukaryota; Viridiplantae; Streptophyta; Magnoliopsida; Arecales; Arecaceae. The record is from RNAcentral.